Molecule: ribosomal RNA, 254 nt
Filed under: uncultured bacterium
Lineage: Bacteria
Description: partial 16S ribosomal RNA
Rfam family: Bacterial small subunit ribosomal RNA
Source: RNAcentral
UACGAAGGGGGCUAGCGUUGUUCGGAUUUACUGGGCGUAAAGGGCGCGUAGGCGGAUUUUUAAGUCGGGGGUGAAAUCCUGGAGCUCAACUCCAGAACUGCCUUCGAUACUGGAGAGCUUGAGUCCGGGAGAGGUGAGUGGAACUGCGAGUGUAGAGGUGAAAUUCGUAGAUAUUCGCAAGAACACCAGUGGCGAAGGCGGCUCACUGGCCCGGUACUGACGCUGAGGUGCGAAAGCGUGGGGAGCAAACAGGG